GGGCAUUCUGAGGGCAGUAAACAGAGUCAGUCAUAAGCAGGACCUUUAGAUUGCUGCUAAGAUAACUUCCUCUCUCUAUAAAGACUUCUACAAACCAGGAGAAUUGAACUCAAUGAUAUUAGAGAUGAUGGAACAGCAGCUGUCCCAUGAAGAAAAGAUCAAAGGAAUACAGCCAAAAAUGGCAGGAGAAAAGUAUUAUUCGAGUUUUCUCAAUGGUACUAGUAUUUGUAUCUCGAACCACUUGCAUCCUAGUCAACAUGCUUGGAAAGUUUGUUCUCAGCAUUCGUUACCUGUCUGAAACACCGAGGUCUCCUAGUUCCCCAACAUUUUUCACUCA
This 337-nucleotide long non-coding RNA is filed under the name Sus scrofa (pig). RNAcentral's name for it is "lncRNA (ENSSSCG00070006127.1)". The record is from RNAcentral. Lineage: Eukaryota; Metazoa; Chordata; Mammalia; Artiodactyla; Suidae.